CCUACGGUGUGCAGCAGUGGGGAAUAUUGGACAAUGGGCGAAAGCCUGAUCCAGCCAUGCCGCGUGUGUGAAGAAGGCCUUCGGGUUGUAAAGCACUUUCAGUGGGGAAGAAAGCCUUGGGGCUAAUACCCUCGAGGAAGGACAUCACCCACAGAAGAAGCACCGGCUAACUCCGUGCCAGCAGCCGCGGUAAUACGGAGGGUGCGAGCGUUAAUCGGAAUUACUGGGCGUAAAGCGCGCGUAGGCGGUCUGAUAAGCCGGUUGUGAAAGCCCCGGGCUCAACCUGGGAACGGCAUCCGGAACUGUCAGGCUAGAGUGCAGGAGAGGAAGGUAGAAUUCCCGGUGUAGCGGUGAAAUGCGUAGAGAUCGGGAGGAAUACCAGUGGCGAAGGCGGUCUUCUGGACUGACACUGACGCUGAGGUGCGAAAGCGUGGGUAGCAAACAGGAUUAGAUACCCUGGUAGUC
RNAcentral lists this ribosomal RNA (465 nucleotides) under Vreelandella stevensii. RNAcentral describes it as "partial 16S ribosomal RNA". It matches the Rfam family "Bacterial small subunit ribosomal RNA", at positions 338 to 795 of the family's 1533-position model. Lineage: Bacteria; Pseudomonadati; Pseudomonadota; Gammaproteobacteria; Oceanospirillales; Halomonadaceae. The record is from RNAcentral.